RNAcentral lists this ribosomal RNA (492 nucleotides) under uncultured bacterium. Its description in RNAcentral is "partial 16S ribosomal RNA". It matches the Rfam family "Bacterial small subunit ribosomal RNA", at positions 29 to 507 of the family's 1533-position model. The record is from RNAcentral.
AGUGAACGCUGGCGGUAGGCCUAACACAUGCAAGUCGAACGGCAGCACAGUAAGAGCUUGCUCUUACGGGUGUCGAGUGGCGGACGGGUGAGGAAUACAUCUGAAUCUACUUUUUCGUGGGGGAUAACGUAGGGAAACUUACGCUUAUACCGCAUACGACCUACGGGUGAAAGCAGGGGAUCUUCGGACCUUGCGCGAUUGAAUGAGCCGAUGUCGGAUUAGCUAGUUGGCGGGGUAAAGGCCCACCAAGGCGACGAUCCGUAGCUGGUCUGAGAGGAUGAUCAGCCACACUGGAACGGAGACACGGUCCAGACUCCUACGGGAGGCAGCAGUGGGGAAUAUUGGACAAUGGGAGCAAGCCUGAUCCAGCCAUACCGCGUGGGUGAAGAAGGCAUUCGGGUUGUAAAGCCCUUUUGUUGGGAAAGAAAAGCAGAAGGUUAAUACCCCGCUGUUCUGAAGGUACCCAAAGAAUAAGCACCGGCUAACUUCGUG